AAGGAAUUCUCCAUCUGUGUACAGUAGUAGGAGUGGGGAGGAGAUAAUUCAGGCUGAGGGAGAAGACUAGAUUCAAAGGCAAUCCAUGGGGUUAACUAUCUAUGCUGACCUUCUCCAAGUUUCCUUUCCAUAGUGAAAGAAUUUGGAAAUGGUAAAAAAAUUAGGAAGCAGGAUCAGAGCGACUCAGGAACUGAGCCUUGUGA
Molecule: long non-coding RNA, 203 nt
Filed under: Bos taurus (domestic cattle)
Lineage: Eukaryota; Metazoa; Chordata; Mammalia; Artiodactyla; Bovidae
Description: long non-coding RNA NONBTAT017913
Source: RNAcentral